UUUGCCUUCCAACCCAGUGGCUCGUCUGACUCCCGCCGGCGUGAACCCGGAAUUGCGGUCUGGGAAUGCUGCUCACGGGAUUGCCGAUGAGGACGGCUUUACGACGGUUGGACCACGACGACGAACCAAGCCGUCACUUGGAACCGCCAGACCUAACAAGGUGACAGCGUCUAGCCCCUGAAGCCAUGGUUGCACACCAAUUCUUCGCAACCCCAAUGGAUGCUAUAUUGUACCGAGGCCAAGCUUAAUAAAAAGCAUUCCUAAAGA
Molecule: long non-coding RNA, 267 nt
Organism: Ixodes scapularis (black-legged tick)
Lineage: Eukaryota; Metazoa; Arthropoda; Arachnida; Ixodida; Ixodidae
Exons: 2
Source: RefSeq, a predicted model, not a curated record